GGGCGCGUAACUCAGUGGUUAGAGUGCCAUCUUCACACGGUGGAAGUCGCAGGUUCGAAUCCCGCCGCGCCCA
This 73-nucleotide transfer RNA is filed under the name Planctomycetaceae bacterium. Its description in RNAcentral is "tRNA-Val". It matches the Rfam family "tRNA". From Rfam's summary of the family: Transfer RNA (tRNA) molecules are approximately 80 nucleotides in length. Their secondary structure includes four short double-helical elements and three loops (D, anti-codon, and T loops). Lineage: Bacteria; Pseudomonadati; Planctomycetota; Planctomycetia; Planctomycetales; Planctomycetaceae. The record is from RNAcentral. RNAcentral also lists the same sequence under 4 other names.